Molecule: ribosomal RNA, 484 nt
Filed under: uncultured bacterium
Lineage: Bacteria
Description: partial 16S ribosomal RNA
Rfam family: Bacterial small subunit ribosomal RNA
Source: RNAcentral
AUUGAACGCUGGCGGAAUGCUUUACACAUGCAAGUCGAACGGCAGCACGGGGGCAACUCUGGUGGCGAGUGGCGAACGGGUGAGUAAUACAUCGGAACGUGCCCGGUCGUGGGGGAUAACGUAGCGAAAGUUACGCUAAUACCGCAUACGAUCUGAGGAGCAAAGCGGGGGACCUUCGGGCCUCGCGCGAUCGCAGCGGCCGAUGUCAGAUUAGGUAGUUGGUGGGGUAAAGGCCUACCAAGCCGACGAUCUGUAGCUGGUCUGAGAGGACGACCAGCCACACUGGGACUGAGACACGGCCCAGACUCCUACGGGAGGCAGCAGUGGGGAAUUUUGGACAAUGGGCGCAAGCCUGAUCCAGCCAUUCCGCGUGCAGGACGAAGGCCUUCGGGUUGUAAACUGCUUUUGUAUGGAACGAAAAGGCUCUGGCUAAUACCUGGGGCUCAUGACGGUACCGGAAGAAUAAGCACCGGCUAACUACGUG